UGGGGAAUAUUGGACAAUGGGGGCAACCCUGAUCCAGCAAUGCCGCGUGUGUGAAGAAGGUCUUCGGAUUGUAAAGCACUUUCGACGGGGACGAUGAUGACGGUACCCGUAGAAGAAGCCCCGGCUAACUUCGUGCCAGCAGCCGCGGUAAUACGAAGGGGGCUAGCGUUGCUCGGAAUGACUGGGCGUAAAGGGCGUGUAGGCGGUUUACACAGUCAGAUGUGAAAUCCCCGGGCUUAACCUGGGAGCUGCAUUUGAUACGUGUAGACUAGAGUGUGAGAGAGGGUUGUGGAAUUCCCAGUGUAGAGGUGAAAUUCGUAGAUAUUGGGAAGAACACCGGUGGCGAAGGCGGCAACCUGGCUCAUGACUGACGCUGAGGCGCGAAAGCGUGGGGAGCAAACAGGAUUAGAUACCCUGGUAGUCCACGCUGUAAACGAUGUGUGCUAGAUGUUGGGUAACUUUGUUAUUCAGUGUCGCAGUUAACGCGUUAAAGC
This 494-nucleotide ribosomal RNA is filed under the name uncultured bacterium. Its description in RNAcentral is "partial 16S ribosomal RNA". It matches the Rfam family "Bacterial small subunit ribosomal RNA", at positions 355 to 865 of the family's 1533-position model. The record is from RNAcentral.